CAAUAGUGUAUACUAAAGUUGUUGCAGUUAAAAAGCUCGUAGUUGGAUUUCGGUGAGAGAUAGCGUUAGUCUAGACAAAACGUCUACGAACUGACAUAUUUCUUCCUUUUUUCCGGGUGCAAUAGUGCCCGGUUAUUUUACUUUGAGAAAAUUAGAGUGUUCAAAGCAGGCGUAACCAAGCCUUUGAAUAUAUUAGCAUGGGAUAAUGGAAUAAGACUUUUUGGCUUAUUUCGUUGGUUAAGAUGAAGCCAUAAGUAAUGAUAAAUAGGGACAGUUGGGGUCAUUAGUAUUUAAUUGUCAGAGGUGAAAUUCUAAAAUUAAUUAAAGACUAACUACUGCGAAAGCAUUUGACAAGGAUGUUUUCAUUAAC
Molecule: ribosomal RNA, 370 nt
Filed under: uncultured eukaryote
Lineage: Eukaryota
Description: partial 18S ribosomal RNA
Rfam family: Eukaryotic small subunit ribosomal RNA
Source: RNAcentral